CCUCGAUCCCAGGCCGAGUUUUCGCUUUUAUAACGGUUAGGCGAACAACUGGGCCUGGUACUAGUUGUCUGCGCAUGCGUCAAUCGUUCGUCAGAUUCUGACUAAUGGAUAUUCUCGUUCACUUUCGUGACAUUUAUAUUCGUGUACUAUCGUGUACUAGAAGUCAGUUCCCGUUUUAUCAUUAUUGGAAUCGAUUGGAAUGGCUCUUAGCUGAAGCUUCUCUCUUCUCUGAAGCUUAUUCUGAAGACUGAACAACAAGGGAAGAGGUAUAAAGCUUUGUCAAGCUUGUUAAGGUCAGAUAUUUUUGUGUGGGCCCUAUGGCCGGCUAUGCUAUCAAGUCUUGUUCAUGUUUGGCAAGAAUGUAGGUAGACUAUAGUUUCAUCAUUAAUAUGGUGGAUCAAGUGAAGAGUGUGAGCUAGAGAACUUGGUGCUGCCAUCAUCAGCUCGUCGACAAUGACACUAUAACCGAGAAAUUUAAUAUGUAUAGAUCUACACGUAUUUAAAAUGUCUACUUCUCUGUACAGGAGCAAUGGCUAAUAUCCAGCUAUCCCAACAGUGCUCCUCUUGGCUAUACUAACGGACGAGACUGGACAGUUUGAGACACAGGACUGGAGUAUGACCUGCUCAUUCGAGCGUUGCUGGGUAGCUCAGAGACAUCAAGAGAAUCUACGUUUUCUCAAGCAAUGAGUUACGAGUUGGGGCCUAGAAUCAGAGAAGUCCAGCAGCCUGCUAAAUCUUUUUGAAACGUAAUUUGAAGGCAUUCAAUCAUCCUGAAGUUGCCCUGGGUCACUGUAAUUGUGCUGCAGCACAACUGGCAACUCCCCAGGCCCUUGUGAAGCAGCUCCCUAUGUGCAUCUUUUGUGUACUCACUCUGUGCAUUUUCUGUGUACAAAUUUCUAUUAUUGAUUUAUUAAAUAUUUUUGCCGACCACAAA
This is a long non-coding RNA of Halichondria panicea, 934 nucleotides long. RefSeq lists it as uncharacterized. The record is from RefSeq and is a predicted model, not a curated record. Lineage: Eukaryota; Metazoa; Porifera; Demospongiae; Suberitida; Halichondriidae. The transcript has 2 exons.